UGGAAUUUAGUUUAAUUGAAAAUGUUAAGUUGUUGCCUUAAAGUUGUAGUUCUAG
RNAcentral lists this transfer RNA (55 nucleotides) under Aspiculuris tetraptera. RNAcentral's name for it is "tRNA-Asn". Lineage: Eukaryota; Metazoa; Nematoda; Chromadorea; Rhabditida; Heteroxynematidae. The record is from RNAcentral.